This 1189-nucleotide long non-coding RNA is filed under the name Homo sapiens (human). RNAcentral's name for it is "long non-coding RNA NONHSAT201746". The record is from RNAcentral. Lineage: Eukaryota; Metazoa; Chordata; Mammalia; Primates; Hominidae.
GCUGUUGAGAACGUUCUUGAUUGUGGAGAAGUAAUUCCUACUAGGAAGCAAUUUGUAUCCAAGAGCUAUCAUGUUUCAAACAGCAUUAGUAGAAGCAUUUAGCAGUGCUGAUCAACUUGGAUAAAUUUGGAAGAGAAAACAGAGAUUUGUAAAUUAUUAUGGGAAACAGAAUCUGCAGAUUGGUGGGAGGAGGGAAAAAAGACUAGAGGAGGAAGGAAGCCAUAUCCUAAAAAGACAAGAGCUUGGUUAUAUACUGGCGGUGUUGUAGGGAGAGAGAAAAUUGCACUAAGCUGCUCUAGUGUCCGGCUCCCUCUGGAAAGCACUGUGAUUUGGGGUAAAAUAGCCUCGGAUGGCGAGCAAGCAGAAUUAAAGCCCAUCAACCCAGGAGCGCCUGGCUGACAAGUCCAGCAGUAAUGGUGAGGAGAGACAGCAGUUGAUCUGGAAUCAACCGAAACCUGGUUCCAGAGCUUGGUAGGUGCUAACUGCAAGGACAUACCUUGAGGAAGGAGUUUCUUGCACCAAGAAUUGGAUCUUCAGGAGGGAGCAAGCUAUGAUAAGGAGGAUGAUGAAACACGGGAAGCUGUUAGGCCUGAGCAGGGAAACAAACAUACUUUACGAUCUGAUAGGUCAGCCCGGGAAGGACAUAACCCCAGAAAUUGUGGGCGAUGUAAACUAGCUUGUAUAUGUUAGGUCUCCCUAGACUUUUCAGUGUGUAGACACAGUGUAUCUUGUUAGUAUUAGAUAUGUUCAUUAUGGCAGGUGUCUGUUAGUAAUCUGUCUAUUGUCAAUCCUUCUCUCUCUGGUUCCCUUUCCCUCAUUAGAUUUUGCUGGAUAGAAGAGUGACUGUACUGCCUAUUGUUCCACACUGUUCCAUACCCUGCCCACCCAACUUAACAAUUGCACCCCCACCCCCAUCUCCACCCUCUAGCAAGCUCCCUACCUGGCCCUAUUUCUAUCCCCUUGGCAUUUAUCAUCAUCUAAUAUUCUAUAUAAUUUACCUACAUAUUAUAUUUAUAAUUUAUUAUCCAUCUUCUCCUCCCGGAAUGUCAGCCCCAUGAGGGUGGAGGAUGUUGUCUGUUCUCAGUUUUUGUUUCCCGAAUGCCUAGAACAGUGCGUGAGGGCUUAGGAAGUUAUUGAAUGACUAAAUUUUGACUAAAUUGUUGGGCCCCUCAAUAAAUAUCUUGAUUAG